UCAUGACAACUAUCCUCACACCCGCAAGGAUGUUUCUGAGUUUAUGAAACACAACCUCUCAGAGGGGGCUUGGUCACCAGUCCUGGCCUUGCAUCAUGCGGCCGUGGCACAAGGAGAAAUGCCAGUGUGUCCUUGUUUGUGGUCUCACCCCCAACCUUACAUGGGACUCUCAGCGACAAGGCCAGCACAUACACAUGCUAUGCUUUUUUCCUAAAACCCACAACAUGGGAAAGUGGAAAUCCAUGUGGUCUCAGAGGAUGCGGACAGAGGCAGAUGGUGACAGCUGGAGACCUAAGUGACAAGUAUCUGUGUGUCAGUGCUCUGCCUAGGGGAGGACCAGUAAAGCUGGGGCAUCCUGUGGACCACCUCCCGGCUCAGGUCCCACAGUUUCGAUGAACAUGAGCCCUGGGUAGGAAACAGUGAAUCCCGGCAGAGGUGGUGGAAAGAAUCGAUAGAUGUGGACGGCCACCGGUGCUCCAAACCCCUGUAAACAUCUCACCUCUUCAAAAGUGAGAUCGUGGGCCUCCUCGGGCAGUGGACGGUGAUUCGGCCCGGGCUAGUGAGGAGGCCACUGAACAGCUGUGGAGAGACAGGGAUCCCAUGGAACAGAAGAAACCAUCAGAAGGGCUGUGGCUACUGCCACAGGAGGCUGGAGGGAUCAGACUGGCUGGAGUCCCGGGUUCUGGAGACAGGCCUUUCGGGGACUCAGCUGAGAGGUGAAGCUGUACGCAGUGAAGCCCCGGGACACCGUAGAGAAUGUGGCACUGAGGUGCGUGUCCCUGAGCUUCGGUGUUCUCUGAAAUCGGUGAGGUGUACGGAUGGGAGCAAGACAUUUCCUGUCUGUGGAAGAAAUACUGAGACUACCCUCGCCAAAGGAAACCACAUGGAGGUUCAAGUGGCGUAGAGGUGUAGACGAGAAGGGCCCAAGCAUGGUCAAAAACUGGAGAGCAGCCUCGGCUACAUGCAAAAUUUGAGGCUAGCGUGAGCCUUCCGUAUGGUGAAGCCCUGUCUUCGGACAACAGCAGCCACGCAGAAAGUAAACUCCGUGAAAGCCAGGACUGAAAGAUGCAUUUGUGAUUCCGUAUGUCGAGGUGCAGGACUUCCUGAGCUGAACAUUUAGCAUUGUGCUUUCCCUGUCAAUUUACAGAACCAAGCCUUGUCUGGCCUGAGUUUAACUUACUUUGCUCCUCAAGGAGCUUUAUGUAUGCUUUGUUGUGCGCAUGGAACUGAGUUAAUUAUCAGCAGAAUAGUUUCCACUAGAUUGUGCUACGCUUAAAGAUGCCUAAAAUAAACCCUCAGGGA
Molecule: non-coding RNA, 1302 nt
Organism: Myodes glareolus (Bank vole)
Lineage: Eukaryota; Metazoa; Chordata; Mammalia; Rodentia; Cricetidae
Source: RefSeq, a predicted model, not a curated record